This 508-nucleotide ribosomal RNA is filed under the name uncultured bacterium. Its description in RNAcentral is "partial 16S ribosomal RNA". It matches the Rfam family "Bacterial small subunit ribosomal RNA", at positions 30 to 523 of the family's 1533-position model. The record is from RNAcentral.
AUUGAACGCUGGCGGCAGGCCUAACACAUGCAAGUCGAGCGGCAGCGGGAAAGUAGCUUGCUACUUUUGCCGGCGAGCGGCGGACGGGUGAGUAAUGCCUGGGAAAUUGCCCAGUCGAGGGGGAUAACAGUUGGAAACGACUGCUAAUACCGCAUACGCCCUACGGGGGAAAGCAGGGGACCUUCGGGCCUUGCGCGAUUGGAUAUGCCCAGGUGGGAUUAGCUAGUUGGUGAGGUAAUGGCUCACAAAGGCGACGACCCCUAGCUGGUCUGAGAGGAUGGUCAGCCACACUGGAACUGAGACACGGUCCAGACUCCUACGGGAGGCAGCAGUGGGGAAUAUUGCACAAUGGGGGAAACCCUGAUGCAGCCAUGCCGCGUGUGUGAAGAAGGCCUUCGGGUUGUAAAGCACUUUCAGCGAGGAGGAAAGGUUGAUGCCUAAUACGUAUCAACUGUGACGUUACUCGCAGAAGAAGCACCGGCUAACUCCGUGCCAGCCGCCGCCGUAA